This 974-nucleotide long non-coding RNA is filed under the name Pan troglodytes (chimpanzee). RNAcentral describes it as "long non-coding RNA NONPTRT007636". The record is from RNAcentral. Lineage: Eukaryota; Metazoa; Chordata; Mammalia; Primates; Hominidae.
CUGCCCUCGCCCAGGACCCUCUUGGCCCGCGCGGCCGCGGCCUCUUCUCCACGAUCCCGGCCCCCUGCCCCCUGCCCGGCUGGUUUUAUCGGGGAUCAUAAGGACAGUCACCACCUAACUAGGAGCAAAUCCCCAACAAUCGAGGAAACAGGGCGCUCCUGCCUUGCGCCCCCAGGCUGGCGUUGGGAGUUCUUUAGAGCCAGCGCUGCGGAGCCCCAGCACCCGGAACGUAGAGAGGCUGUGGAGGCAUGGGGCAAAUUGUGCCCGCAGCCUGGGGCCUAGAGCUGCAUCUGUGCACCGGGCCUCCAGGAGCCCGGCUCAGUGGACGAAAUCUGGCAUGCUCGGACGUCACCCCACAGGCCUCACGCCUCAGAGGGACCCCGAAAGCAAUGCAAGAACAGCCUACUACACCAACAGAAAACACCAUCCAAGAACAACAUCAAAGGAUACGAUUGGUACAAUGGGAGAAUCGGAAGGAGGAAAGAGAAGAAGGGGCAGGAGAAAUGGCGGAAUGGCAAGAAUGUCCCCAAAUUAAUGACAGACACCAAACCAUAGAUCCAGGAAACAUACAGAACAUCCAUCAGGACAAAUAACAAAAAACAUAAAGCAAAACAAAACAAAAAACCACACCUAGGCUUGUCACAUUCAAACUGAAUAAACCUGCCUGACUGAACCCUCGUCCACCAGCCACAGCUACACCUCUGACAAGACAAGAGACAGAUUUCAGUAACUCUCCUGUGCACCCUAAAAUCAGCAGCGUCUUAGAUUUAGGGCCUCAGAAACAAGGCCAUCCACACUGGAUCCGAGGGGCAACUGGGCACCUCCAUGGGCACCCAUGCUUCAUAAAGACAGCUGCACCCUACACUUGGUUGGACUGGGACGUUUUCAGCUAUCCAAAAUAAAACUUCGGUUUUCUAAUUUAAAGCUUUGUUUCAUGUCUACAUUCUGCUCUUGUAGUCUGCAUCUUCGCUCGC